Molecule: ribosomal RNA, 256 nt
Filed under: uncultured bacterium
Lineage: Bacteria
Description: partial 16S ribosomal RNA
Rfam family: Bacterial small subunit ribosomal RNA
Source: RNAcentral
UAACACGUAGGGGGCGAGCGUUGUUCGGAAUUACUGGGCGUAAAGGGCAUGUAGGCGGCUUGGUAAGCCUGGCGUGAAAGACUGCAGCUUAACUGUAGGGAUGCGUUGGGAACUGCUUAGCUUGAGUUACGGAGAGGGAGCUGGAAUUCCUGGUGUAGGGGUGAAAUCUGUAGAUAUCAGGAAGAACACCGAUGGCGAAGGCAAGCUUCUGGUCGAUAACUGACGCUGAGGUGCGAAAGUGUGGGGAUCAAACAGG